GUAACAAGGUUUCCGUAGGUGAACCUCCGGAAGGAUCAUUG
RNAcentral lists this ribosomal RNA (41 nucleotides) under Angraecum appendiculatum. RNAcentral's name for it is "partial 18S ribosomal RNA". The record is from RNAcentral. Lineage: Eukaryota; Viridiplantae; Streptophyta; Magnoliopsida; Asparagales; Orchidaceae.